Molecule: ribosomal RNA, 255 nt
Filed under: uncultured bacterium
Lineage: Bacteria
Description: partial 16S ribosomal RNA
Rfam family: Bacterial small subunit ribosomal RNA
Source: RNAcentral
UACGUAGGGGGCAAGCGUUGUCCGGAUUUAUUGGGCGUAAAGAGCGUGUAGGCGGCCAGACAGGUCAGCUGUGAAAACUCGAGGCUCAACCUCGAGACGUCGGUUGAAACCGUCUGGCUAGAGUCCGGAAGAGGAGAGUGGAAUUCCCGGUGUAGCGGUGAAAUGCGCAGAUAUCGGGAAGAACACCCGUGGCGAAGGCGGCUCUCUGGGACGGUACUGACGCUGAGACGCGAAAAGCGUGGGGAGCGAACGAGG